UUUGCACGAGAUGCUUGAAAAUGCAGCUGUCAAUCCUCAACAAGUGAACAUAUUUUUUUGCUAAUGCAUUCAUACAAACACCGCCACUUUUAGACUUUGGAGACCAACACAGUCAAGCCCAUUACUGUAUGUUUACCUCAUAAUGCAGUUAUUAUAGUUUAGACGAGCAAAGAAAAAGCCUCUGAUCAGAUUUGUUUGGUGUGUCCAGCCCCGUCCUUUCUGCCCCUGGUCCCCCCCCCCCCCCCCCCGUCUGCGACAGGUACAGUCUGCUGUGGUCCCAAGACCCAGGGGAGUCUGAGUCAGCCGCCCGCUCAGGCUCGAAGAAAACCUCAUCUUCUGCCUUCUGCAUACAAGUGGCUUUAUGUUUCACCACAUCGCUGUAGACCUCGGGUGUCAGUGGACACCGAUGCGGAGGGCGGAGCUCGACCCUUUGGCGGAUGAAAGGAAACAAAUCUGGCACAGAGGAAGGUGGAGGCUUACUUGUCGAUUAAGGAACAGAGGUGGCAGCAUAUGACAGAUUUACAUCCAGCGGUGUGGAGAAACGCAUCUAUCUCUGAGCAGCGCUGAAGAGAGGUGGACGGAUUCUCCAUGUUCCUCAUCGCAGCCAUAGUGACGUUCAAGCAUUCCGUCGGCCGUGUUCAAGAGGAGCACGCGACAUACAAAUGACAUUUACCUUGAUGCUGUGCCUGUGGGCGGCGUCCAUGACGGCGGGAACCAGGUCCUCUGUGGGCUCCCCGUGGUCGUCCGCCACCCCGGGAGGAUACCAGGACAACACCAGCACCCCUGCAACACCACCACAAGGAGACGAGCCGUGAAGUUUGAAUGUGAUGCUUAUUGAAUUAUUGAGGUGGCGGAAGGUUCUUGCCUCUGGAGGCCACAGCUUGACAUCCUCGUUGCACCAGGCGGAGGGGAGAGCAGCUUGUUUCAGACUUUUGCGCAUCCAGGAUCAAACCCAGGGUCUCUGACGACAAAGGCGCUUGUCAAUCUUGCAAGUGUUAUCAUAUGCAUUUUUGCGCAGUGUGUAAACUGUACAAAAUGCCCAAGAUAAUUUCUCCAACAGUCGUUUCUGUGUUAAAGGAGGCAGUAAGAUCAUUUUAAUCCAACUUUUUAUAAAAAGCGGCAAACAUUUACUGACAGUCCGCUAGCUGUCACUUCUGUUUGCGCCAGGAAAAAAUAUCUGGUGCGCAUCUCACACAGAGAUGAUAAAUCAGUGUCAUUUGAUGUAUCAUCUCUCAGUUCGUGGAACGCUUGUUUCAUUUAUUAUGGCUUCUUAUGUAAAGCACUGUGAAUUCCCUUGUCUUUUACAUGUGCAAGUAAGUCUAUAACUUUUAUGCUUCUUUAUUUCAGAACCCUUCCUUUCUCUGUGGCACUAAUCACCUCUCAUACAGACUUCUUCUUCUUUAUUAUAAUUAUAAUUAUUUAAAUGUAUUCUGACAGAUGCUCAGUUGUAUUUUAAUUAACUACAAACAAUUCUGUUUAUCUGAAUGACCUGACUGCGGUCUCCUCAACUCAGAAAGUAAAGCAGUUUGAAGGGAAGUCCCGCCACAAAGUCCCAGAUUGUGCAGAUCAUGCACUUUUCUACAUCCUCCAGACCCUGAAGGUGUCUAGCUGUUUGUGUUGAGAUAACAACUUCCAUAUCCUUCUUUUUAAACAUGAUGCAUGAAACUUUAUUUGCAGUACCAAGUACCAAAUUGUACUCGUGGGUGGUCUCACAGAAUGCAUGCUGGAGGUGACACCUGGUGGGAGUUCCUGGAGGGUUUCACCUUGUAAAGACACUCCAGUGCUGGAGCCGUGCUCACCCUCGCAGCGUGAAUAUGAUUCUAAUCAUACGAUUUAAAGGCUGAGGCGAAGAACAUUCAUCUCAUCUGGAUGUAAAAGAGCUGGACACAAUAAAUCUAAGGAAUCUUUAAAUGCAAAUGAUGUGCUGUGGAGGAGCAGACAGUAUGGUAUAAUAGUAUUAUUUCAAUAAUCAAGUAAUUCAGUCCCUAUCAUAUAUAUUUUGAUUGUUCCAAACGUCUUAAAGAAACAUACUCCUCCACUGCUGCAGAUGUUGUAGGAGGUCAAAGAUGGCCGACAGCCUGUCAGCGAGCCUCCAUCUGCUCCCUCGGUCAAAGAGCUGAGCUCAAAGCUGCACCGCCGGCAGUCGGUCCUUCUCCAGCAGACCUCCUCCUCUCACUGGGAUCUUGAUUCGGGUGACGCACUGAGCAGUUGAAGAAUCUGUUUCUGGUUGCCUUUUAUAUUCAGUUUUAUUGGGCCACCCUUACAUGGACAUGCAUUUAUUUUACGUAUAUGUGUGUCCUUGCUCUUAUUUUGGACUUUGUGUUUCACAGGGGUCUCAAAUAUUUAAGGACUUUUAUAGGACUUUUUUGCUGUAUGUUGCAUAUGGCCAAUGUAAAGCACUUUGUGGCCUGUGGCUGUGAAUACA
Long non-coding RNA from Scophthalmus maximus (turbot), 2425 nucleotides. RefSeq lists it as uncharacterized. The transcript has 6 exons. NCBI's taxonomy places the organism in Eukaryota, Metazoa, Chordata, Actinopteri, Pleuronectiformes, Scophthalmidae. The record is from RefSeq and is a predicted model, not a curated record.